RNAcentral lists this ribosomal RNA (184 nucleotides) under uncultured Bacteroidota bacterium. RNAcentral describes it as "uncultured Bacteroidetes bacterium partial 16S ribosomal RNA". The record is from RNAcentral. Lineage: Bacteria; Pseudomonadati; Bacteroidota.
GGGUUAACCUCUCAGUCCCCCUAUGUAUCGUCGCCUUGGUGAGCCGUUACCCCACCAACUAGCUAAUACAACGCAUGCCCAUCUCUAACCAUCGGAAUUUUCAACCAUAAAAGAUGCCUUCUAUGAUAUUAUGGGGUAUUAGUACCAAUUUCUCAGUGUUAUCCCCCUGUUAAAGGUAGGUUGC